RNAcentral lists this ribosomal RNA (497 nucleotides) under uncultured bacterium. RNAcentral's name for it is "partial 16S ribosomal RNA". It matches the Rfam family "Bacterial small subunit ribosomal RNA", at positions 28 to 507 of the family's 1533-position model. The record is from RNAcentral.
GAUGAACGCUGGCGGCGUGCCUAAUACAUGCCAGUCGAGCGAACAGACGAGGAGCUUGCUCCUUCGACGUUAGCGGCGGACGGGUGAGUAACACGUAGGUAACCUACCUAUAAGACUGGGAUAACUUCGGGAAACCGGAGCUAAUACCGGAUAAUAUUUCGAACCGCAUGGUUCGAUAGUGAAAGAUGGCUUUGCUAUCACUUAUAGAUGGACCUGCGCCGUAUUAGCUAGUUGGUAAGGUAACGGCUUACCAAGGCAACGAUACGUAGCCGACCUGAGAGAGUGAGCGCCCACGCUGGAGCGGGUGCCCGGUCCGGGCUCCUACGGGAGGCAGCAGUGGGGAAGGUUCCGCGGUGGGCGAGAGCCUGACGGAGCAACGCCGCGUGAGUGAUGAGGGCCUGCGGAUCGUGAAACUCUCUCAUUAGGGAAGAACAGGCGUGUAAGUAACUGUACACGUCUUGACGGUUCCUAAUCAGAGGGCCACUGCUAACUACGUG